AUUUUGUUUUAAAAAAACUUUUGAUUUAUAAGAACCGAUGGCCAUGGUAUGUCAAACGUUGUAAUGAAAUGAUAGCUUUUCUAAUCGCUGCGGCUUUGGCUUUCGUAUCGAUUCGAUACAUCAUUGAUGCACUCAUGCACAAAACAAAUGUGGCAGUGGACUUCACGUAGCUGAUUAUGUGCAAAUAUUGCUCAGAUUCUUUAAAGACAUGUGGUAGUGGACUUCAAUUGAUCUGUUCAUAUAUUUUACUUUGGCCUAUGCGGAGUCCUACAUCGUAUCUUGUGCUUUCGUCCCUUUUUACAUAAAACGGCUUGCUGAGGCGGGCGAUAUCCAUCAGCCGUCAAAAUAACAAUACAAGGGGCAACUCUUUGUUUUGGGAUUUGAUAAAAUAAAACUAUGUUAUGAUUUUUUGAAAUUAAAAAACUAUGUAUCAUCACCUAUCUAAAUAUAU
This 451-nucleotide small RNA is filed under the name Arabidopsis thaliana (thale cress). RNAcentral describes it as "ATSL118300". The record is from RNAcentral. Lineage: Eukaryota; Viridiplantae; Streptophyta; Magnoliopsida; Brassicales; Brassicaceae.